GACGAACGCUGGCGGCGUGCUUAACACAUGCGAGUCGAACGGUGAAGCUCCAGCUUGCUGGAGUGGAUCAGUGGCGAACGGGUGAGUAACACGUGAGCAACCUGCCCCUGACUCUGGAAUAAGCGCUGGAAACGGCGUCUAAUACUGGAUACGAGAAGGGUCCGCAUGGGCACUUUCUGGAAAGUUUUUCGGUUGGGGAUGGGCUCGCGGCCUAUCAGCUUGUUGGUGAGGUAAUGGCUCACCAAGGCAACGACGGGUAGCCGGCCUGAGAGGGCGACCGGCCACACGGGGACUGAGACACGGCCCAGACUCCUACGGGAGGCAGCAGUGGGGAAUAUUGCACAAUGGGCGAAAGCCUGAUGCAGCGACGCCGCGUGAGGGAUGACGGCCUUCGGGUUGGAAACCUCUUUCAGCAGGGAAGAAGCGAAAGGGACGGUACCUGCAGAAGAAGCACCGGCUAACUACGG
This 467-nucleotide ribosomal RNA is filed under the name uncultured bacterium. RNAcentral describes it as "partial 16S ribosomal RNA". It matches the Rfam family "Bacterial small subunit ribosomal RNA", at positions 28 to 506 of the family's 1533-position model. The record is from RNAcentral.